Molecule: ribosomal RNA, 500 nt
Filed under: uncultured bacterium
Lineage: Bacteria
Description: partial 16S ribosomal RNA
Rfam family: Bacterial small subunit ribosomal RNA
Source: RNAcentral
AGUGAACGCUGGCGGCAUGCUUUACACAUGCAAGUCGAACGGCAGCACGGACUUCGGUCUGGUGGCGAGUGGCGAACGGGUGAGUAAUACAUCGGAACGUACCCAGUAAUGGGGGAUAACUAGUCGAAAGAUUAGCUAAUACCGCAUACGCCCUACGGGGGAAAGAGGGGGAUCGCAAGACCUCUUGUUAUUGGAGCGGCCGAUGGCUGAUUAGCUAGUUGGUGGGGUAAAGGCCUACCAAGGCGACGAUCAGUAGCGGGUCUUAGAGGACGAUCCGCCACACUGGAACUGAGACACGGUCCAGACUCCUACGGGAGGCAGCAGUGGGGAAUCUUGGACAAUGGGCGAAAGCCUGAUCCAGCAAUGCCGCGUGCGUGAAGAAGGCCUUCGGGUUGUAAAGCGCUUUUGUCUGGGAGCAAAUCCUUGUGGCUAAUACCCACCGGGGAUGAGAGUACCAGAAGAAUAAGGACCGGCUAACUACGUGCCAGCCGCCGCAGUAA